This 492-nucleotide ribosomal RNA is filed under the name uncultured bacterium. RNAcentral describes it as "bacterial SSU rRNA". It matches the Rfam family "Bacterial small subunit ribosomal RNA", at positions 12 to 518 of the family's 1533-position model. The record is from RNAcentral.
UUCGAUUCUGGCUCAGAACGAACGCUGGUGGCGUGUCUUAUACAUGCAAGUCGAGCGAGGCAGCAAUGCCGAGCGGCGAACGGGUGAGUAACGCGUAAGCAAUCUGCCCCAUAUCAGGAAAUACCCGUGCCAACGCGCGGUUAAUGUCCAGGAGAGUGGCUCCUUGCAUGAGGAGUUGACUAGAGAUUUAUCGGUAUGGGAUGAGCUUGCGUCCGAUUAGCUAGUUGGCGGGGCAACGGCCCACCAAGGCGACGAUCGGUAGCCGGCCUGAGAGGGUGAUCGGCCACAUUGGGACUGAGAUACGGCCCAGACUCCUACGGGAGGCAGCAGUAGGGAAUAUUGCACAAUGGGGGAAACCCUGAUGCAGCAACGCCACGUGUGGGAAGAAGCAUUUCGGUGUGUAAACCACUGUCAUGAGGAAUAAGGCCUUAUCCGUAAGGACUUGAAUGUACCUUGAGAGGAAGCACCGGCAAACUUCGUGCCAGCCGCGGC